GGGGCCGUAGCUCACUGGUAGAGCAUUGGAUUGCAGAUCCAGCGGUAGUCGGUUCGAUUCCGGCCAGCCCCU
Transfer RNA from Tritrichomonas foetus, 72 nucleotides. It matches the Rfam family "tRNA". Rfam says of the family: Transfer RNA (tRNA) molecules are approximately 80 nucleotides in length. Their secondary structure includes four short double-helical elements and three loops (D, anti-codon, and T loops). The record is from Rfam. NCBI's taxonomy places the organism in Eukaryota, Parabasalia, Tritrichomonadida, Tritrichomonadidae.